Molecule: long non-coding RNA, 6694 nt
Organism: Leopardus geoffroyi (Geoffroy's cat)
Lineage: Eukaryota; Metazoa; Chordata; Mammalia; Carnivora; Felidae
Exons: 2
Source: RefSeq, a predicted model, not a curated record
UGUUAUUAUCAUCAUGGUCCCUGUUUGAGGUAGGAUAUUUCAUUUCUCCUCUCCAGGUUUGUCAUGGGUAAAAGUGUUCAAAUUGGCAAAAUCUGUUUUUAUAAUUAACUACCUCCUUUUAUUGUACCUGACUGGACAUCAAAGGAAACCGGUAAAGGAACAUAAAUCCAAGUACUUUCCUCUGGAGAAGGAACCUUCACUGACAAUUUAAACUUAAGAAAUUAAAGUAGGGUUACUGAUUAACUCCCUUCUGUGUCAUAUCAGAUAAGAAGAAGGUGUAACUCCUAGUGGUAGGCAAUAACCUUGUGCAAUAGGAUCUGGGAUAGAGAUAGAACUAUUUAACUUUUUUUAAAAAUAGGGGCAAAUAGCCCUCAUUCCCGAAACACUGUGUUACAUUAUUGCAGUGAUGGCAGGAAAUCAUCAAGAAAAGGUUUAUAUAAUGUUUCCUGUUCUCCUGUUCCAGAUGAGUAUAUCACAACUAUUUAAAGUAAAAAUGUGGUGCUUCUAAGGCUCAUAUUUUUAUUCAAGUUAGUUGUUUCUUGCAUUGUGUUCUCUUAACACAGGAUGGCUUGCCAGCCUGAGCGUGAACAGAUCACAUUGGAACUGGUAACUUCUUUGUUUUCAGCCUACCCUGAAUCCGCUUAAAAAAGAAUAAAAGUCUUCUUCAGCUCAGGCCCAGUAUUUAUUUAUUAUUUCAUCUCCAGUGCCUGGUGCCUGGCACUCAGAAGAUAGUAGGUCUACACCUUUGUGGUAUUUCCUGUCUGCUUACAAGUGUGCUUAUUAUGUGGUGGGCAGUGAAGUCUGGUAGAUACAGGUUGAGGAGUCACAGCACUUGGGUUUCAAGUCUUGCUAUCUUUUUUUUUUUUUUUUAACCAACAAUUAUUGAGUGGUUCCCAGAACUCAAUAAUUUAGACCCACAAGUGUGGGUUGUGUGUAGUUAGGUAUACUCAUUUUUAAGUGCUAAGUUGGGUCUCAUAAACAUCAAUGAGAUGCUGUUUAUUAAAUGAACAUUUUCAUUAAAAAAAAUAGAGCAGAAUGAAAUACUCUUUAAGGUCAGUAGUUUUUUAUGUGUAUGUAAAAUCCUGCCUUAAAAUGCAUUCCCUGAUGGGGCGCCUAGGUGACUCAGUCGGUUAAACAUCCACCUCUUGAUUUUGGCUCAGGUCCUGAUCUCACAGUUCAUGAGUUCGAGCUCAGUGUUGGGCUCUGUGCUGACAUUGAGGCGCCUGCUUGGAAUUUUCUCUCUCCCUCUCUUUCAGCCCUUCCCCUGCUCACUCUCAAAAUAAAUAAACAUUAAAAAAAAAUGCAUUCCCUGAAUAAAAGAUGAAAGCUUUUAGAUACUUUUUGAAAAUCUAUUUCAAUUAAGCAUUCUGUUAUAUAUGUAUAUGAUUUGCAUAAGUUUGUAUUGUAUGAGUCUACACUUUGUGUCUGCCUUAGUCAUCCCUGCAAAUUGGAACAUGUCCAUAUUGGUUGACUAUAUGAGACAAUUUCUCAUUAUUUGUGAGCCUUUAGUUUAAGUCCCAUAUAGAUUGGAAGUCUCCCCUGACUUCUUUAUUCUCUCCUGUCAUACCAAGGACGGUUACUUCUAGGGCUGGAACACAAGACAGGUUUCAGAGACCUAAGGAAUCAGUGACUUGGAGUUGGGGAACCGACGUGCAGUGGGUUUGAGAGAAACUAGAAGAAGGCAGAGAGAAGAAAGGGGAGUGCUAUCAGUUUAUGACUUUUCAAAGUGUUGAGGAAUGUUCUUGCUCGCAUGUUUAUGUCCUAAAAAGAAAGAAAGAGGGACUAGUGAAGGGCGAUUGGUUUUGGCAUCAGGUGCUAUUUGAAUACCACUCUGGUGUUCACAGGUAGAGACCUUGAACAAGCAAGUGACGCCUCUGGACUUCAGUUUCGUCAUGUUUAAUUGGGAAUAACAAUGUCUAACUUGCACUCUUGGUGUAGAUUAUAAAUAAUACAUCUGAAAUGACUAGCAGGGAUCCUGGAGCACAUUACUAUUGCAUUUAUUAGGUGGCCGGGACUACUGUUGCUGGAUUAGCAUUGAGCUGCUUUUUAUUUUGCUCACUGUUUACAUCUAGCAGGUAAUAGCGUUAUUAGUUAUGGCCUAAAUGUGGCUUUUGUCAGAGCUAUUUGCCCAACUUGGCUGAAACUUUUACUUGACUUAAGACAGUCUCACUCUGUAUUUUCUACUGUACUUUUUUUUUUUUUUUUUGGCGAGGGGUGGGGAAGAAAAGACCUGAGUAUGCUUUACAUGGUAACAACUAAGAAUUGUUGUUUUUCAUUUUGACAAGUAAGUGUUUUUAUUUUAUCAUUGAGGACAGAAUGUUUUUUGCUACUUUUGCCAGUCAGUGCUUUGUGACUUUUGUAGCUUUGGAAGUCAAAGUUAUAUGUAAUACAACUUUACUGGAAGAGAAAAGUGGCAAACUGUAUCUUCCUUUUGAGCACUGUUAUUUAAAGUGAAUUUAUUUUGGGGCACCUGGAUAGCUCAGUCAGUUAAGUGUCAUCUGAUUCUUGGUUUUAGCUCAGGUUGUGAUCUCACAAUUUGUGAGUUUGAGCCCUGCAUUGAGCUCUGUGCUGACAGCGUGGAGCCUGUCUGGGAUUCUCCCUCUCUCCCUCUCUGUGCCCCUCUCCCGCUCGCUUGCUCUCUCUCUCUCUCUCUCAAUAAAUAAAUAAAUAAAUAAAUAAAUAAAUAAACAAACAAACUUAAAAAAAAACCUUUAAAAAUAAAGUGAAUUUAUUUUGAUAGAAUUUUGAAAAUUUAUUUGAAGAAAUUAAAAUUUUUAAAAAUACAUAACAUUUGUGGAAUGUCUACCUGUUCAGGUGCUGUGCUAAGCACGUUACAUGCAUUUUCUUAUUUAACAGUGACAUGAGCACUUUAACGUAAGUGAGCAAUCUGAGGCUCAAGGGGUUAGUUAACUUGCUAAUGUCAAGAUCAAAUCUAAUGAAACUGAGCUUUGAACCCUAACGCAACUUCCCAGCCGUGUUCUUUCCACAGUACUCCAUUGCCCUCAAAAUUAUUUUAGUGUUUCUCAUGACAAUGUUAAUGGUUUUGAGAAAGUAGGUUAGGUGGGUUGUCACAUGAAGAGUCAAGAUAAAAUUUAGAAUCAGAAAUACCAGUGUGAUUAUUUGAUGCAGCAUUUCCAGAGUGUAGGACAUUUGCUGCUGUUACAGAAAGGAGUUUUGGUUGAUUUGGAGUUGAUUUUAGGUAGUAUCCAGAUGCUGCAUUAAAUAAUGUUGAAUCAUAUAAUAAAGACCUCAGAUUCUUUUGAAUUUGCUUUCAGUGUUUUCUUGACAAGUCAAGUAGAAACUCUCAGUUUCAUGCUAGAAUCUCUCUCAUAGAUAUAGUUACCCAUUUGUUUUUCUCAAAGAGAGCAGACUAGGACUACCAACAGUUUGAUAGCUAGAAUCUAAUAAUUGUUUUUUUCAUAUUAUUAUGUUUAAAUUUUACAGUCACUGUCCAUUAAUGCCAUGUAAAUCAUAUUUUUCAUUUACAAGGUAGUAGUGUAUUUUUUUUUUUUUUAGUAAGUUUGUUUUAGGGGAAAAUGUGAAAUUUGUCAACCCAAAGUGCCUAUACAGGUUUUGCAUACAUAAAGUAAGUCAUGUUUGAGUACCUGAGUGUCUGUAGUUCAGGACUGCAUUAACCGAUUGACUCAGAUACAGACAUUGAAUUUUACAGUUAAGAAAACAGUCUUGAAGCAGAUGAAUCAUUUAUCAUGUAUCUCAAGCUAAGCCCACGUGUCCUGUGUUCUGACUUCCAGUACCACAUAGCAUUCCCCUACCGUGCUCUCCUGUCACUGGAGACCAGCACACUCUUCUCAGUUCCAGCAGAAAUGGGCGUUGCUAUUUUUAAACAAUGCUAUGUAUUUCUGAAUGGCAUAUUUGUGUUCUUUGUUUUUAUUGGCCAGUGGGUGCCUAUCCAGAGGACAUGCCAGUUAUAUUGGCUUUUGCUAAUAAACCUCACUAAUAGCCUGGAGGGAUGUGGGCAUGAAAUAAAUUGCUCUUUAAAAUAGUAUGACAUUUUUAAAAAUAAUGCCUUAACUGUUUUUCAUAUAUAAAAUGUCACAAUAUGAUAGACUGUGAAUAGAAAAGUAAAAAACAGGCUGUCAUUCUGAAGGAUAAGGCAUUAUGGAACAUUUGAAUGACACUGUUUCUGUUGAGAGUGAGUUGAAGAAAAAAUAUAUAAUCAUUUUAGGAGAGCUGAACAUUUCAUUUCCCAUUUCACAUGCCAUUUAAAUCCCUUCUUUAAGUGGAACUUUGUUAUAAACAACAACAAAAAUGUGUAAAUCAAGAUAUUUAAGAGAGCUUUGACAUUGUAUGGUCUCAACACCAGCUAUGAUGCUAUGAAAUAAAUAUUCUAAACAGAUUAAAAUUGGAUGGCUGUUGCUUCUGUAUUUGGUUAGCAUUUAUUUAGUUUUACAUCAGUGAGAUUAAAUCUAUAAUCUAUUAAUCUCUCAAUCUAUUAACACACAUGAAUUCUUAACAGGAUUUUAUAUCCUUUUGAAAGGUUUGAUGCUAUAAAACAUGUUAAUUUGCACUGAUGUCAGGCAUCAUUUUCAUUAAAAGAUGAAAAAUAAAUGGUCUUCACUAUAUAGGUGAGCAUCAGCUCUAAAUCCAGAAGUCAUCUACGUUUGACCUGGGUGUGAGUGGGGCUCCUCAGGUAUAGUUCCUCAAAUAUAGUUCCUCGUCAUCUGUAGAUCUGUGAAACUAUGGAGUCAGGAUAUCUGACCUCAACACAACCAACAUACAGCAAUGAUGCAGGCAUAAGAUACCUGCAUGUUCUUGGUCAAAAAAGAAUAAGAUUUGUGGUAGGUAAGAGUCACUGGUCCAUAGCAGUUCUGAAAUCCUGCUAAGCAGAAGUUUCUUGAUGAAGUUUCCAGAGUUGGGGAUAAUUCUCCAUGGCUCUUCAUUCUACUCCUUGGGCUAUUGGCUCCCCUCUCUGAGUCGUCUUUCCCUUCUUAUGAAAGGUGGCACGUGUUUUGCAGCUGAAGUUUUUGUUUUUAAUGUGUAUUUUUGAGAGAGACCACAAGUGGGGGAGUGGCUGAGAGAAAGGGGAACAGAGGAUCCGAAGUGGGCUCUGAGCUGACAGCAGCGAGCCCGAUGUGGGUGUUGAAUUCACUAACAAGUGAGAUCAUGACCUGAGCCGAAAUUGGACACUCAACCAGCUGAGCCACCCAGAAGCCUUGCAGUUGUUUUCUCAGCCUGCUUCCUGCCGGUAGGAUUUGGGGGAUUUAUGGCGGUUUUUCAUUUAGCACAGUCUGUUCCUUUCAUUCUAAAAUGGCAGAGUUCCUGCUGAUAAAAUCCUCUUAAAGCUUUUGUCAGUCCCCUUUGAAACUCGUUAGGGUUUACUCAGACAAAGAUCAUACCCCCGUAUUUCUUAGAGAUAAAUCUUUCUCUACCUUGGGCUUCUGCUGAGACAAGGGAUAGGCAGUGCCCUUUAACUUUCCAAAGGCCUACUGAAAGGAUCGCGGAGUCACGGUCUUAAGCUUUUAAGAGACCCUGUGGUACAACUGAAAAGCUCAUUAGGAGGCUACAUUUCCAAGGUCUUAACAGGAAUUUCUGAAGCCACACUCUCUGUCUCAUCUUUAUUUUAUUUUUAUUUUUUAAAUGUUUAUUUUUGAGAGAGAGUGUGAGUAGGGGAGGGGGAGAGAGAGAGGAUCUGUCAGAGGCAGAGGAUCCGAAGUAGGCUCUGCACUAUCAGCACAAAGCUUGAUGUGGGGUUUGAACUCACGAACUGCGAGAUCAUGACCUGAGCUGAAGUCAGAUGCUUAACCAACUGAGCCACUCAGGUGCCUCUCUGUCUCAUCUUUAGACCAUUUUUUUUUCCUGGCAGUUCCUUGGAAUUAAUCUUUGUGUGGGAGCUGUUUCUUAGUAUUGUUUGCUGUCCAGAGAUGCUGAGAAUUUUCAAAACCAUCGAGUGGUUUGAAAACCAUCAAUUUUCAAAGCCUUCUUUUGGUUUAGUGGUCCUUCCCUCAAUUUAUCAUCCCCCAGUUUACUCUAAGAAGAAACUAGGUAGCAUCUCCAGCACUUUGCUGGGAAAUCUCCACAGCUAAAUUACCCAGUUCGUGCGGCACAUUUUUUAUUUCUCAUACAACUGCAAGUGACCACAUACGGGUCAUGUAACUAUAUAUAAGUGUGGGUAUUGUUACACCUUCCACCACUACAUAAUUUACAAUUUCCAAGAAAAUUUUCUCAUUUUUAUUUACACCCUUCCUAGCAAUCUCUUCAAAGUCCAAAAUUCUGUGAAUAGAAUUUUUAAAGCACUUUACAUGUUGACUCAUGCUCUUAAGUCCCAUCACACAGUUCUGAAGCUGUUCCCACCUUUCAGAUUUUUGUUAUUGCAGCACCCUACCUCCAAAAUCCGUAUCGGUUAUCCUGUUGCAUAGCAAAUUAUCCGCAAACUGAAUUGGCUUAGAACAAAAAAUGUUAUCUCACAGUUACUAUAGGAAAGGAAUCUGGGCUUAGCUGGAUGAUUUUUUUAAAGAUAUCUCAUGAUGUUGCAGUAAAGCUGCUGACCAGGGUUGUAGUCAUCUCAGAAAUUAACUGGGGUUGAAGGAUCUGCUUCAGAAUUCACUAAUGUGAUCAUUGGCAGGCCUCAGAAGAUCCGCUUUUAAUCUUGCUCAUCUGGGCCUUUCCAUAGGACUUUCUGCAGUUCCACUGUGGAACUUAAAAAAAAAAAAAAAAUGAAAGCUGCUUCCCCCAG